AAAAAAAAAAAAAAAAAAAAAAAGAAGAAUGUGCAGUGAGCAAUCAUAUAUUCCCUUUAAAUAGUCUCAGUACUGUCAUUUUGAGUUUACCCUCUGUCUCCCCUAUUUUUUAUAUUUACAGUUUUUUAAUAUUAGGUUUUUACUAAAAUAAAAAUUUCACAUCGUGAUUUAUCAGAUGGAUCCUAUCCAUUUCUCAAUUUAAUAAAUAAUAUUUCUUAAAACUUUUCUUGUCUUACUAUAUUCUCAGCAUUUUGUAACACUAAAUAUUUAAAAUGCAAUAUUUAUAUCUUUUUGGACUUUACAUUGAUAUAUAUAAACUUUCGAAUAUUAUUAUGUUAGAUACACAAUUUCUAACCAGAGAGGAAUUUACAUAGUAAAUAAAAUGAUAUUUAUCAUAUUUUUGUAAUUCUAUUAGAAUUAUCUACAUUUUUAUAUGUGUAAAGCUCAUAUAAUUGGUUUUGCAUUCUUAAUGAAAGUUUGUUAAUAGAACUAAUAUAAUUAUAUCAUGGAAGAAAAACUAAUAGAAUUUAUUUUUAAAAAAUGAUAUCAAUCUAUCAAUUUUAUUGGGCACUAAAACAUUUAGGGUCCUGCCAUUGACCAAUACUGUCUACCUCCCAUAUAUCUACCAUUAAGCCAAUACAAUUAUUUAAACACUUUUGUAGAGAAUUUUUUUCUACAUUUGAUAUUUAUAGAAAGACCUAAAAAGAAAUAAAAUCUAUACUUUAUCAAUAAUAUAAUUCUGAAAGGUCGUUUUGAGAUAUAUGUGAUAUAAUAUUAUAAUAUUUAAUUUAUAUAUGAUAUCUAAACUUUACCAAAUACUAAAGUUUUAUAUUUUGAUUAGUCUACAUUGAGAUUACAUAUUGUUUCAUUAAAAUAUUUUAUUUUUAUUUUAUGCUAAAUUUAUAAUCAAUAUUAGAGCAUUUAUUACUUGGUCAUAGGUUUUACUAGAGUUGAAUUUCAUAAAAUAUUAAAUUUGGUCAAAUUAAAAACAUUUGACUCAUUUAGAAUAUGUAAAGAGUAGCGAGCCAAAAGAAGUUGAACUUCUCAAAUAUAAAUUAAAUUUUCAAGCGCAAAGCUCAUGGUACAAUCAAGAAUCUGAAUAACUUUUGAAUGGCCACAUUAUUGUAUAUGAAUUACAUACAUGUAUAUGUAUGAUAGAAUAUAUAUAUAUAUAUAUGUUUUCUUGGUAGUGAAUGAGAGGAGGAAAAAAAAUAAGAGGAGAAACAAUGAGAAAAAGAAAAGUUCAUAAAAACAAAAAUCACAAAAUCAUAAAGUUUUUUCAUUCUUAUUGUUCUGCUCUUAUAUUUUUUUCCUGUCUCUCAUUCACCACCAAAAAAACACAUAUAUAUAUAUAUAUAUUUAUGUAUUUUUGUGUAGCAUUUGACCAUGCCAAUCCGAAAUGCUAAACAAAAAUAUAAUUUAUUUUUCCAGAUUACAGGCCAAGAGAUAGUAUGGAGAUAUAUAGAAGGCGAUGGUAUGAGGGUUACAAAAAUAUUCAGACUAUUAACUCAGAUUAAAAAUUCUGUGAGAAGAAAAUUCAGAUAUGAUUCCAGAAUUAUUUGUUGAGAAUCAAUCCAAAGUUCCACAUCGGAAGUUUAGACUAAUAUGGUCUAAUAUAUAAGUAAUGUCCAACUCUAAUUAGUAUGAGGUCUUUUGGGAAGGAGCCCAAAAUCAAAUCCGUGUGGGCUUUGUCAGUUGGGCCCAAAGCAAACAAUAUCAUACUAAUUGAAAAAGUUGGACAUGCGUUUUUCAAGCCCAAUAUUAUUCAGGUGAAAAUUUUCAUCACUAUUUUCAGAAUGAUAGGCUAAAGUGUAAGAGACAUUUUAUUAUUAUUGUAUCUCAAAAAACGUGGAAAUGUUACAUAAGCCUUUAACAGUCUUUUUAAAAAAAAAGCUAUAUUCAAGAUAUUUAGUUUUUUUUUUAAAUAAUAUAUAUAUAUAUAUAUAUAUAUAUACACAUAUAUAUGAUAUUUAAACUCUAUAAAUAAGAGUUUGAUAUUUCUAGUCCAGAUAAAGUAACGUUAUAAUGCUGCCCAAAAAAUAAUACUACAAAUAAUUAUUUUCUAUUAAAUUUACAUUAUAGCAUUUUUUUUUAUAACAUCUAUUUUAUUAGAUAGUAAAAAAGUAAUACAUCAUGUUUACAAGCCAUUUUGGCAAAGAUUGAAAAACAUAAUACAUAGCAUGAAAACAACAAUACAUAAAAUUAAAAACACAAAGCACUAAAUCAAAGAAGAUGAGUUUAAACGAUUUUUUUCUUCGAAUUUUUCUCGCUGAAAAAGUGUCCACACCUUCUUUCCUCGUAAUCGCAUUUGAUCUAAAGCGAUUUUUUUUUUUGCUAUGAUCCAUCUUUUCUCCUGUUGUAUGUUAUUGACACAUUUCCAAGUAAGAACUAAAAAUAUUCUAUGAAUAAGAAUCCAAUCUUUUGAUUCUUUCCAUAGAAAAAAUACUUGAAAUUGCCAAUUUUCUACGACUGUACGUAUGUCGCCAUACCACAAGGAGUUUUCAUCUUCCGCUCCAAACCCUUGUCCCCUCCAUGGUGGUUUCCAUGUUUGUUGUUCCCAUAGUAAUGCCAUAUCCGGCUGAAUAGAAUCAUCGAAGAAGAUCAAACAUAAAACCCAAAUUCGCCAAUCAUCGUUUCCAUGACUCCUAACUUCUCCUAUUCCCGGAUCAAAAACCCAAAUUACAUCUCCAAACCAUACAGUGGAGGAUAAUAAAAACUGCUGUGAGUGUUGAUUUAAUCUUGGAUCAAUUUGAGUAAAUUGGUUCAAGAAAGAAUUAAAAUCCCAACCAAAGACUUGACGAAUUAUAGCAUUUAUUAUUUGGUCAUAGGUGUUACUAUAGAUGAAUUUAAUGGAAAUGUUAUUUUUGGUCAAAUCAAAAUUAUUUAAUAUUUAUAAUAUGUAAAAAUUUGAUCCAAAAGAAGUUAAAACAUAAAUAGAAUCUCAAACCACAUGAUACAAACAAGAAUCUGAAAAAAAGUUUGGAAUCUCCAAUAUGAUAUACAUUUGCAUUAUUAAAAAAAAAUGGCACUCAUUGUUCUUCUCUCAAUGCUUUUUUUUGUUUCCUUCUCUCAUUCACCACCACGAAAACACACACACAUAUAUAUAUAUAUAUAUAUAUAAAUAUAUAUAUAUGUCAUGCAUUAUCAUUUAUCAUCUCAUCGAUCUAACUCAUGCACUCAGGAUCAUCAUCAAAAUGAUCUUCUCCCUCCAUAGCCUCUCUUGGAUUUCCGGCUUCCAUAUUCUGUUUUCCGCAGGGCUCCAUCACAUUAUGUUUCUGACUUGUCGACACUAGAUUCAUAGAAAGUGAUUGAUCAUGGUUGGUGUCAGGGGUUGAGUCCAUCAGGGUAUUAAAGGCAGAGUCAUGUCCAAUACACCUCGUCGAAAAAAGAAUAUCUUCCUUAGAAGAGCCAAAAUUUCGAACCAACAGUCAAUAUCCAUCUCAUUGACGUCAAUGUCAAAAUAAAUCAGCUCUUCGAUCGGAACAUCAUUAUCUUCCACAUAAGGAACCAAAGCCAUAUCUUCCAUAUUAGUUUCAAGGGAUUGGGUUUUAUUGGUUUCAAAAGAAGCAUGUCUUCAAGAAGAAGAAAACUUUCUUCAGAAAACAACCAAUCUAUCUGGUCUGUAUUGGUUUCGAAAAUGGUGGUCGUAUUGGUUUGAGAAGAGGUUUCAUAACUUGUUUGACCAGAAGCAAAACCGACAUGGGAAAUGACAUUUUGAGAAAGAACAUGAUUUUCUCCAGAAGAAACCAUACCCAUCUGGUUACUGAUUUCAGAGGGAAUCAUAUUUUCAGAAGCAACAUAGCCUUCUACUGAAGAAAUAUUGGUUUCAGGAACAUUUAUGUUCAUAUCAGUUUGAGGAAGAACAUAAUUUUCUAGGGUAGGAAUCCAAUCCAUCUGGUUCAUAUUGGUUUCAGAUGACUAAUGUUUUCUGUUGAUGGAACACAACCUAUUUGGUUUAUAUUGGUUUCAUGAUCGCGAAUAUUAUCGGUUGAUGGACUCCAACUUAUCUGGUCCAUAUUGGUUUCUAAAGUGUUCAUGGUAAAGUCUAGAUCUGGAAGAAAAUAACUUUCUCCCAUAAUGCACAGAUCAGCUUGAGGAACAUAAGGCUCUGGUAUAUAAAUAAAGUCUAGAUCUAGUUGGUUCCAAUCGAUUUCAAGAACAGAUGAGCUAGGUUGAAAUGGGUUAGGUUCAGACUGAGGAAUACAAAUCCCGGAAGACUCCAUCUGGAAUGCAUCUGUGUUAGAUGCACCAACACUUGAUGACAAACCAUAAAGAACAGGAGGGUUAUCACUACUUAAGCCACUAUGGUUAGAUGCACCAACACUUGAUGACAAACCAGAAAGGACAGGAGGAUUAUCACUUAAGCCACUAUGGUUAGAUUCUCCAACACUUGAUAGCAAACCAGAAAGGACAGGAGGAUUAUCACUACUUAAGAUAAUAUGGUUAACAUCAUGGAUAGAAAAAAUAUGGGAAGGUGGGUUGUUACUUGUGGCUGAAGGAGCGUAAUUGACUUCCAUAGGUGACUUGUUUAAUAGGUUACCAAAAAGUGAGUGUUUACUCAGAUCCAAUUUUCCACCUAGAUGAAACUUGGGCACCAUCUUCGCUUUGCCCUUUUCAGCAGAUUUUUUGAAUGAAUCUGCAUACAAGAAAAACAAAAAACAUUAUUGACACAAAGAUGUUGAAUUGUGAAAAGUAUAUAUAUAGUAAAAGAACAUGACUUGCAUUGGUCGAUGGAUCAGGAGGAUGCUUCCUUCUUUUUCAGAGAAUACCACUUUGUGUUACUUUCAACGAUAUUCUUUGCUAAGUUGGAUGCAUUGAAAGGAUAUUCAUAGUCUGAAGGGUAGUUGAAUGUCUUAUCUGUUGACCUCCAUUCAUUCCUCGACAACGAAUGGUUCAUUAGCUUAACUUGUGCUUUGUAUUUCUGAAACAAUUAAUUAUAGAAUAAAACAGGUUAUCAUAAGGCUAGUAAAAUUAUAUAUUGAAAAAGAGUGUAUAUAAAUGUAUAUAUGAACCUGAAGGUGGCUACCGACUUGGCAAAGAUUCAAGUCUGAGUCAUUCAUAAUGCUCAAUAUGGAUUUAGGACAAGAAUCUGUAGGAUAAAGAACUGUAAUCAAUUGGUAGAAAGAAGAAUUGGUCAAAACAAAAAAAAUCUUACCUUUUGCACCCAAUAUGGAUAUAGCUGUUAAAAAUAUCAUUUGGCGCUCCUGGAGUCAAUACAUUGCAUCGUCUUCCAAUAUUACUCUCCAUAUUUAUUCCUUCCUCUCUCUUGUUCUCAGCCUCAGUGGGAUAAACCGGUUUAGUUUUUCCUUCAUCAAUUGCUUUGCCUUUUCUCUUUUGGUAUGUUUCAGGGGUUGUAAAUGUUUUGACGAAGGGUCGUCUUCCUAACAAAGAUGACUGACUUGUUCUCUGCCUCUUUAUGGUUUCUCUAAGAGAUUCAAUCUGAUUUAGUAUAUUUUUCUCCACAACUUUCUCUUGUUGUUCAGCGAUGUUGAUUUUCUUUAACUCUUGGCUCUUCUUAGGUACCACAUGCUGCCAUAGGUUUUCGAUGUCGUUUUCAGAAAUCGGCUUCGUUAGACAAAAACGUGCACUUUUUGUCAAAAGAUCUGAUGUUUCCUUGGUAUUUAUUUCUGGACUUAUCACUUUAACAUCAAAAAAAUAGAUAAAUUAAUCUGUGGAAGAAAGUAACAAACAGUGUAAAGAGUAAGCGCAAGAAGAAUGUGUAAAUGUUUGCUUACGUAUAAGAGGAAUUUUUUUGUGAAGCAAAGCAGUGAGAAAGGAAUGUGAAUCUAUAUGAGGCAUUUCAAUGUUGGCUAUCACAAGUCCAGUAUCCUUUUGCUUUUCGAUCAUCGAUAAAGCCUCACUUGCCUUGUUCAAGCUCAUCACUAGUACAUCAAUUUAUAUAUUAAAUAUUUACAAAAUCCAAAAAAAAACAUUGUUCAAAACAAUAAUCAAGUUUCUUCCAUUUUAGUUUUAGUUAUAUAAAAAAGUUGAAAAAACAAUAGAUUAACACGCACAUUUUCGAUUAUAUAUGAUGAUUAGCUAACCUAAUACAUAAUAUAUUAUUUAUAUACAUAUUAAUAUUUGAAAGAAAUUUUUUGGGCUAGAACCAGACAUCUAACAAUCUGAUUAUCCGAUUAAAAUAUAGAAUAUAUGUAUUAAAACUCAACAAUUAUACAUCUAGGGUAUUCAAUAAAAAAUUAAUAAAAAAUUAGAGUUCAAAUAUUUUAUUAAAUUCUUUCUUAUCGAUUUUUAUUUAUUUACAAAAAAAUAUUUUAAAAGAGAAAUUUAUAUGCGUAUUAUCAAUUAUAUUUGAUGAUCGACUAAUCUAAUACAUAAUACAUUAUAUAUAUAUAUAUAAAUAUUUGAAAACUUUUUCCAGCUAAUACCAAACAUUCGAAAUCAUGUUAAGAAAUCAUUUCUAAAUAACAUCAGUUAUCAAAAUCUCAUAUAUAUUCCACAAAAUAUAGAUUAUACUAAAAUUUAAUGGUUUUUACAAAAUAGUAUCCAAUAUCUAUGACAUAUUAUUAUCCAAACUAAUAAUCGUAGGUGAUUAGGAUUUUCAACAAAAGGGUUGUAAGAAAAUCAUCUUCAAAACUGAGAUCCAAGACCAAUCAGUAGCCUAUAGCUUUAAUAUUCUGUAAAUUAAAUUAUAAAUUAUAAUUUUCUAUGCGAAUUCACAUUUCUUCAAAUUUGUUCAGAGAUCCUGAUUUAUACAAUGUAGAAAUCUCAAGAUCUAGAGACGUUGAAUUAUAAUCAUCAGGAAAAUAUUCAGCAAAUGCUAAAAUUUACCAUACCAAAUGUAACAAAUUAGAAUAAUACCGUUGAUAUGUAAAUGGAAAAAUGAUCAACAUCAAUAUAAAUGGUAAACAAUUUUUUUUUACCUUUAUACGAAAAUUGCUUAAGCAUUGAAGUGAGAAAUUCAAUUGAUGUAGUGUCAUUAUCGAUUAGCAGAACUGAAAUAUCACCAAUGCGUUCAGGAACUAUGUUUCCAGCCAAAUUUACGGUCAACUUUUCAGUCAUAUUUUCAAAAAUAUAUGAUAUGAAGGUUUGAAAUAAUAACCGAGUUAAGGGGAAAUAAGCUAUUGCAUGGACGUAUAUAAAAGAAAGAAUAGAAAUUGUAGACCCAACAAGGUCAUAAAUUGCAAACAACACCAGAUGAAGAAAACUAUUUUAAUUUCUAUCAAAUAUAUUUCAUUUCAUCAUUGACCCUACCUAUAAUAUAUUUUUUUAACUCUAAAAAUAUACCCAGUCUAAAGUAUAAUCUAUUAGUUUAUAUAAUUCAAAAUCUUAUCAAACACAUGGUAAAUGAUAUUAUAGCAUUGGUAGUGAUAAAUAUAAUUAUUUUGGGAAUAUUAUAGUGUUUCUUGACCGAUAUAAUUUGAGAAUUUACACGAUAGUCAUCGACUUAAAAAUCCAUAUAUAGUUAGUUGUUAUUUCAUUUAUAAAUUUUGACUAGAAAUAUACAAUUAGUUCAUUUUUUAUACAAUGUUUUAGAAAAUGAUUAAUUAAUUAACAAAAAGUAAACAUAGAAAAUUUUUGUAUAUGCAUAAAAGAUUUUUCAUAGAAAAAUUUGGUGGAAUUAUGUUUUCUCUUUUUUCUUAUAAUUAGAUAAUAUUUUUAUUUCAGUCAGGAAAAAAUGUAGCUACAGAUGUGUUUUAGAUUUAUGGAAGCGUAAAAUAUUCUUAAUAUGUAAAGUAAUAUAAGUUCUCUAUAUAUUACACAAAAUAUAAUUCAAAUUUUGUUAAUAGUUUUGAUAUCAAAAGUUAUUCAUGCAUGCGUUUUACAAUUCGAUCCUUACCUUAUUUCGAGUACAAUAGGCAUGUGACUGGUCAAGUUUUUAAACUCUUAAGUAACUUCCAUAAUUACGUAGAAACUCAAAAAAAUUCAAGAAUAGAAUAAGGUUCAUCUUUUUAUAAAUGUUUAAUUUGAAACGUAUGCUAACACUUUAAAAUAAAGUAUUGAUAAUUAUAUGUUGUGAUGUUGUGUAAUGUAUAACUAAUGCUCGUUUAGUAGUGAACUCGUGAUCAAUGAUGGACUCCAGCUACAAGUUUGUUUUCCUUCCGAUCUGUUCACUACACUACAAGAAAGAAGACCUUUUAUAUUGGAAGAUAUCGACGUAAAAUCGACGUAAUGGGCCAUUUACGUCAAAUUAGUGACGAAUGAAAAAUUAUCGUAAAACAAUCAUCGUAAAAGAGAAAUCGUCGUAAAAUCUUCGUAAAUUACCAACACAAUAAAAUCGUCAGAAACAAUUCGUCGCAAAAACGACGUAAACGUUCCAACGAAAGUACGACGAAUUAAUUUUAACACAACAACGACGUAAAAUCGAUGUAAAAUUACAUCGGAUUUACAACAAUUUCGAGACGAUCUAUUUCGCAAAAGUCAAAUAAAUUUAUUAUAGAUCGACGUAAAAUCGUCGUAAUAUAUCGACGUAAAGUCGACAAAAAGUAUAUGGACGUUUUAAAAUAUUUGCCUUUAAUUAGACGUAAAUUUACGACGAGUUUACGUCGAAUUAGAAAAAUAAUUAUUAAAAUUGGAUUUUAAUUUAAUUAUUGAAUUUUUAAAAUAAUCAAAUAAAGGAAAAUUUAAAUUUAAAUUCGAAAAUAAUUCAUAAAUUAAAAUACAAAAUUAAAUACAAUUUAAAAAAAAUAAAAACUAAUCUACACAGUAAAUUCAUAAUCGUCGAGGUUGAGAUCGACGUCUCGAGGAGGCUCUCCGUCAUGUCCGUCCGUCGCUGUUGUACCAUCGUUUCCCGUCUGCACUACGGGAUCCGAAGUCUGACCCUGCGUCUGCUGGUCAGAAGGUCCACCCGCAAUAAUCCUGUGUGCUCGCCGUUGCCUCUCUCGAAAGUGGAUCGUGAAUAUUUCUAAUCCGUUUUUGAAGUCUUCAGUCAAUGACCCAUCAACAUUUUUGGGCGUAUACAUCCACUUUCGUAGAUCGUAUAUAGACAUUUAAAAACAAAUAAAUGACUUUUUGUUUUUGAAUUUUGAUAUAAAUUUCAACUACUAAAAAUUUUACUCAAACAUUCAAAGACUCAAAAAAUUGUGUCUUUAUAUGUUUUUUUGGUUGAUGGAAUAAUGAGAGAAGAAAUGGUAUAUAUAGAUUUUUUGUUUGGUUACCAACAUAUUGCCAUUGAAUAUUAACAUCAAAUUUACGUCGAAAUAAAAUUUACAUUAUAUUUACAUCGAUAUUACGUCAACUACAAGAUGGAGGCCAAUUCAUCGUAUUAUCGAUGUAAAAUUUACGACAAUGUUACGACGAAAUGUAAUUCGUUCUUUAUUCGUCAUAAUGUUGUCGUAAGUUUAUGACGAUUUUACGAGAAUACUAUUUUAUAUCGAAACGACGAAAUAUUUUGACGUCGUACGUAAUUUCGUCGUAAAUUUACUACGACCAUAAAUCGACGUAAAAAAUUCGUUGGAAAUGUCCCUCUUUCUUGUACUAUACAAGGAUUCAUAAAUAAUGAAGCUGUUUUGUUCGGUGAGUGCAUUAAUGUGAGUUAUACAAAAUUUACAUUGGUUACAAAAUUAGGAGACCAUCUCCAUCGGUUUGUUAGGUAAUUUAGAUAAUAAUAAAAAUUAAGAAAUGAUUAAAAAGUUAACAAUUCGGGUUGUUAGGUUGUUGUGGAAGAACCCAGGAAUAUAUAAAAACGUGGCACCAUGUCAUUGGUGGAAGAUUUUUUAUGUGUGUGGGCUAAAAAUCAGGAAUAAGCCCACAUAAAAAUUCUUAAUUUUUUUAAUUAAAAAUUCAUAAUUAAAAAAAUUUUAAGAAACCCAAUCCCAGGUUUAGGGAUGGAGAUGUUUUGCGUGAGUACAUUUUCUCUUUCUUAUAUAAAGUGGAUCCACCAUAACUCCUAAACUAAAUGAGACACACGAUGAGGCCGCAUACAGUGUGGAGAAGGUACACAAAUUCCGCAUUAUCGUUAUAAAAGCUAUGCGAAGUCUUUAAAAAUUAUCUACCGUUCUAAUAACUAACUAAAGUAAUCACGAGAAAUAGUAGUUGGAUAACAAGAUUUUUUUUGUCUUUCUGCUAAGGGCGAAAAAAGUAAUGUAACCUGAGCUCUUUUGCAUCUCUUCUCCGGCGAUGCCGACAGCGUCGGUCUCAUCCUCUUCUCCUCAUGGGGUAGAAAAAACAACCCAAAAAAUCUCCACCAUCCAAACCCUUGUGCCCUCCUCUGCCGCAGGUGAAAUAACCUUCACCAUCUUUGUUUUCACUCAAUGAAGCCGCAAAUCCCUUUGCUCACUCAGUGGCGGGGGAUCCUUCGUCUCUAGCACAGCAAAUCCUUACUGAUUCUGAUUCUCUAGCCUCGACUGACAGCAACUCUCGCUCAGAUCCAAUUGUGAUAGUUCCUGCAACAGUCCAAGCCCCCAAAUAUCAUUUAUGUAAAAGUUGUUGAGACAACAGAUCCAGAACUGAAGAACUCAUCAGUAGAGGCACCAAUUGUCCCGACAAUCCCUGCCUCUGAAUCUGUUUCCGUGAAAUAGUCUUUGGCUGCAGUUCCGGAAAUCCUAAAAAGUUCAAAACCCACUGUGAGUGAUUUGUGGUCAGGAUUAUUCAAAGGUGCUACGAAGCAACUGCAGAAGAAAGGCACAACUUUUACCUUCCCAUCCGAUGAAGCUUAUGUGAAGAUUCUCAAAUAUGUAAUCGAAAAGAACAAAAAAUCCUGGGAAAGUUUCAUCUGUGGGCAAUUAUACACAGAUACGCCCUCCCAGAAAACUGUUCAUAACAUCGUGAAUGGAAUUUGGAGUAAGCAUUUCUGUGAUAUUACAGUAUCAAAGAUAGAGGGCAAUACCUACCUUUUUCAGGAUACCAAAUCCUUCCACUCGACAAUGGGUUUUAACUCAGAGAUUAUGGCAGAUAGAAGGUAAAACGAUGUUUGUCACGAAUUAGGAGUCUGGCUUUGUUCCAUUGAAGCCCGAGCUCUCGUUGUCCCCUAUUUUGCUGAACUAAGAAAUGUUCCUCUACAGUUCUUCAAUGAAGACGGCUUUGAACACAUUGCGGGAUUUGUUGGAGAGCCAAAAUGUCUCCAGCCUAUAACUGCAAACAAGACAAAUCUGUAAGUAACGAAGGUAUUCACGAUAACUGAUCCUCGUAAACCUCUUUCAGAAGUUGUCAAUAUCCAAUUUGAUUCUGGAGAGAUCAAUAGAGUUUUAGUGUCCAGUCUGUGGAUGCCACCACUGUUUUAGUUCUGUAAGAGGUGAAUCAUCAUCUGAGGCAGUGCAAUGAAGCUCCAAUCUUUUGCAAGAAGUGCAACUCAAAAAUUCACGUGGAAGAGAAUUAUGCAAGAACCGUCCUACCUGAACAAAAUAAUCCAAACUCCCAUAGAAACAGAGCCAAGGGAUUAGCUGGAAAUACUUAGAAGUGGGUUAAAGUUGCUGAGAAAUCAUCUGCCAAAUCUGUCAAGUUUACUGAGUCUUCACUGGGGAAAGAAAACAAAUCUUCAAAGGGAGAGUUCAGUGGCGCUGUGGUCUGGUACAUCUUCAAGGGAAGAUCGACGAAAAUGUUAAAGGUCCUCCUAUCCCUGACACAAAAAAAUCAUCAGGAGUGGAAUCAGAUUCUUCGGACGUUGCUUUUGUGGACUUCAGCAAUGUUGUAAACCUGCAGGGUGAGCAGAGUGAGUUCGCAGAGGUAGUUUCAAAAAAGAAGAAGAAGGAUAAGAGGGACAAGAGCCCCAACAAAAGCAGCUUAAUAAAUGGUUGAAGAAAAACAAACCGUUUUAUGAGAGUAUUAUAGAAACCCAUGUGAAACAGCCUAAAUGUAGGAAUUUCAUUAAUAGAUCGCUUCCCGGCUGGUCUUUUGAACAGAAUUAUGAUUUCUCCAUUUAACAAGUGUAAAGGCUGUUGUGGUGGCUAAGUCUUUGCAGAUGAUCACCUACAAAGUUAUGUUUCCUGAUGUGCAGCAGUGGGUUAUUUUGUCAGUGAUGUAUGUUUCUACAGUUGAGACUCUGAAAAAGGAUCUUUGGGCAGAGCUGAUUGUUUUGUCUUCAAGCCAGACUGUUGAAGAAAAAGAAUGGAUGGUCAUUGAGGAAUUUAAUCAAGUUCUCCAUCUACAUGAGCAUUCAAGAGCUAUUACUCUUAAUGUGGAUAGGAGGACAAGAGAAUUCAGGCAGUGUUUGUUGUCGGCUGAGGUGUCAGAUUUGAACUACUGAGGAAACACAUUUACUUGGUGGAAUAAAUGUAGUGCCAGGCCAACUGUGAAGAAGUUGGACCACAUUCUUGUAAAUGAGGUUUGAUCUACUUUUUUCCCCUCUUCAUAUGCAAUAUGUGGAGAGCAUGGUUUUUCAGACUAUGCUUCUUGUGUUGUCGUCUUGGAGUUGGGUUCUCAAAGGCAGAGGAGACCUUUUAAAUUCUACAAAUUUUGCCUCCAGAACCAAGACUUUUACCCUCUGGUUUGUGAACAUUGGUUCUCAUGUAACAUGGUGGAAUCAGCAAUGUUAUGUCUCUCAAGGAAGCUUAAGCUUCUGAAAAAUGUCAUAUGUAGAUUCAGUAGAGAUAAUUUCUAGGAUUCAGAGAAAAGAGUUAUUGAAGCUCAUGAGAAGCUUUUGCUUUGCCAGUCUUAGACUCUAACUGAUCUGUCUCGAACAAAUGCAAAACUGGCGUUUGAAGCACAAAGAAAGUGGCAGAUCCUGGCAAGUGCUGAAGAGUCCCUUUUCUGCCAGAGAUCAAGUGUAACCUGACUUAAAGAAGGUGAUUGUAACACUUCUUAUUAUCACAGAAUGACUGCAUCUAGGAAAGCCAUAAAUCACAUUCACUUCCUUAUUGCACCAGAUGGAGAACAUUUUGAAUAUCAAACAGGAGUUUAAGAGCAUUGUGUUGAUUAUUUCUCACACUUUAUGGGUUGUGAGGUUGGUCCCCAGAUGCUGAUCUAGUCGGAUAUGGAGCUCCUCCUUCCAUUUUGAUGCUCUCAGGCCCAAAAAGAGAGUAUGAUAAAGAGCUUCUCGAAGGAGGAAAUCAAACACCUGCUUUUCUCAUUGCCAAAAAACAAAACCAGUGGACCUAAUGGGUAUUCCGCUGAGUUUUUCACCUGUUACUGGAGUAUUGUAGGGCUGAGGUAUGUGAGGCAGUUGAAGAAUUCUUCCGAUUUGGAAAGCUGCUUCAGCAAUGGAACACUACAACUUUGAUCCUCAUUCUCAAUAUCACAAACGCCUCUUCAACAUCUGAUUUCAGGCCAAUAUCCUGUCUCAACACUAUUUACAAAGUCAUAUUCAAGUUAUUGGCAACCAGAUUUCAGAAGAUCCUGUCUCAGGUAAUAUAUCCCUCUUAAUAGGUUUUCAUGCCAGGUAGGCUGCUUGCAGAAAACGUUCUACUGGCUACGAAAAUUAUGCAUGGCUAUAACUGGAGGAACAUCGAUUCCAGAGCAAUGCUUAAGGUGGAUCUUAGAAAGGCAUUUGAUUCAGUAAGAUGGGACUUUGUCCUCUUGACCUUAAAAGCGUUGGAGUUAUCAGAAAUAUUUGUUAAAUGUAUCAGUCAGUGCAUCACAACUCCCUCGUUUACAAUUUCAGUUAAUGAUAUCACCAGAUGCUACUUCAAAAGCGCAAAAGGAUUAAGGCAAAAAGACCCUCUCUCUCCUUACCAUUUUUCCUUGCAACGGAGGCCUUCUCAGGAUUUUCCACUCUAGAUUUGAGGCUGGGUAUAUCCAUUACCAUCCCAAGACGGCAGAACGGAACAUAUCUCACCUGAUAUUUGCAGAGGACGUGAUGAUUUUUUUUAUGGUGGGAGUUCAUCGUUACACAGCAUAACUGAAGGAUUAGAAAACUUUGCGUCUUGGUCAGGAUUGCACAUGAACAGAGACAAGACUCAACUAUUUCAGGCAUGAGUAAACCACAUUGAAUCCACUGCAAUGGCAAGCUAUGAAUUCACUGUAGGUUCACUAUCAAUCCAAUACUUGGGUCUUCCCCUUAUGCAUCGUAAACUGAGACUCUCUAAGUAUGACCUCCUUUUGGAGAAGCUUGCUAAUAUAUUCAGAUCUUGGGCUGUUACAACCCUCUCAUUCCCAGGGAGAGCUCAGCUGAUUGCUUCAGUGAUAUUAGGAACCGUCAACUUCUAGAUUUCCACGUUUAUGCUCCCCAAAGGUUGUAUUAAAAAUUGAAUCUCUGUGUGCUAGGUUAUUGUGGUCUGGUAGUAUUGUGACAAGAUGAGGAGUAAAAGUAGCAUGGUUUACUGUGUGUUUGCCUAACUCUGAAGGAGGUCUGGGCCUGAGAAAAUUUUCUGUGUGGAACAAGACGCUAUGUCUGCGGUUCAUUUGGUUACUAUGCUCUGAAAGUGGAUAUCUCUAGGCUGAAUGGCAUAUCAGAGCUUCUGGUUGGUGGAGGCAUAUUCAGCUGAUUCAUGGACGUGGAAAUCUCUAUUGGAUCUUAGACCAUUGGCUGAAAUGCUCUUAGGAAAUCUGUUGGAAAUGGACGAAAAACAAAUUUUUGGUUGGAUUUUUGGACACCUCUUGGUCCACUAAUUAAACUUCUGGGUAAUGAUGGCCCGAGAAAUAUCAGGCUCCGUCUUUCUGCUAUAGUCGCAGAUACAUGCACAAUGGAGACUUGGAGAAUCCCAUCGCCAAGAUCUGUAGCACAGCUGAGUCUCCAUAUGCACCUAACGACUAUCAACUUACCUUCUUCCUCUCAGAUCGAAGAUGACUGUUUUUGGUUGGAAAAUGGUGUUAAGUGCAGCCAGUAUUCCUCCUCUAAGACUUAGGAUGAUCUAAGGCCACAACAAGGUGAAACAGUGGUCUAAGCUUGUAUGCUUUAAAGAUUGUGUUUCGAGGCAGGCUUUCAAUAUAUGGAUUGCACACUUGAAUAGGCUCCCCACUAGAGCCAGAAUAGCUUUUAGAGGAACAAAUAUAUUCACAGAUUGUUGUCUUUGUUCCAGAGACGAGGAAACGAGAGAUCAUUUGUUGUUCAGUUGUGCUUAUAGCUCGGAAAUCGGAAAUCUGGAGGCUGAUACUUACAAGGUUAGACCAUACCCAGAGUCUGUUCAUCUUGUGGUCGGAGUUGUUAUCAUGGAUAAGUAUGCGUUCUGAUGCUGCCCCUUAUACCUGAAAGGUGGUGGCUCAGGCUAUGGUUUACCACAUUUGGAUGUCAAAGAAACAAUUUGCUGCACAACUAAUAAAGGAUUCCUGCAUCCAGCAUUUUCAAGUCCAUUGAUCGUGUGACUCGAAACACCAUUACUACGAGAAGACAAAGACGUUGCUUUAGCAACUUUAAUGUCUCUUUGGCUUCAAUGAAACAAUAUAAAAUCUAAUUUACUGUGUAUUGUUCUCCUUGUUUUUUAUUUCUUUUUUGCCAAGGAAGUUUUGUAACAGGUUAGCAUCUUUUAUAACCUUCUUUUCAUUUUAAUGAUAUUAACAUUCAUAGCAAAAAAAAAAAAAAAAGAAAUGGUACUUGCAAUGUUUUACACCAUGUUUGUGUUUUAAAAAUAUUUCACACUACAUAUUCAAAGUUAUAAUGCAGGAUACAAUUUGUUUCUAGUCGAAAAGGUCAAAAAUAUCCAAAUUUUUUAUGUGGUGUUUUCAAGAAUUAUGCUUUUAAGAGAAUUUAAGAAAAUCGGACUAUUCUAUCGAGAUACUAUAACUUAUUCAACAGAAUAUCUAAAGCAUUUGUUCUGAAAGCAAGAAUUCUAGAUGCUCUUCUCCCCAUUUGUUUUUGGUCGAAUGCCACAAAAGAUGUUGAGAAUUAGGCACAAGAACCGGGUUCAAUAAGUUGACAAAUACCAAACCGAGGACCGACGUGGAAUCGUGGAGAAAAAGUUACAUUACAAUAAAGAUAAAUAAAGAAAAGGGAAGAUGACGUAAAGCUCAGAUUUGGAGCCUAACGAACUCCACGUCACCGCCUAAGUUCAUCCAUUGAAAUUUGACGGCGUCUUCUACUCUUCUAUCAUAACCCUUCGUUCUUUCAUGUGAACCACGUCACCGCCAUUCUCUUUUUUUUUUCUUUCUUAAUACAUUUCUCAAUAUGCGUCCAAUAUCAUAAAUAUAAUAUAUAUAUAUAUAUACAAUUUAACCUAUUAAGGCAUUGCAACUUGUAGUGAACUUUCAAAGGAACUUGCAUCCACAAAUUUAAACAUUUUUGCAUGUUGUAGAAUUGAACACGAAUAAUAAAGUGUGUAUUGAUGAUACACUUGUGUUACUUAUUUGACAAUUUAUUUGGUUUUCUUAGAAAAACUGAAACUGGCUUAUACAGUAUGUUUGUACACAUUUUUUGUAUUCGAAGAAAUUGGGGCAUCAUACAGUGACAUUGCUAUUAAUGUUUCUUCUAUAUCAAACCAAGUGAUAACAAAAUAUAAAAAGUAAUAAUGUUGACUUGUAAAUAAAGUAAGAAAAUUAAAUUCUGUCAUUUCAGAAGAGGAAGUAUGUCACAUGUAUAAUAGAUCAUCGAUACUUUUCAUGAGAACUUCCACAAGAAAGCCAUUGACUUCUUAUACCUUUCUCAAUUUUCCAGCUUGACCCAUUUUUUUCUUUUGAAGUUAUGAGAACUUUAUGUAUAAAAACAUUUUAGACUAGACCUCAAGAAAAUUCAGAUAUUUUUAUAAUUUGUGAAAAAAAUGUUGAAAUAAAUUGAUUGGAUUAUUUCUAUUACUAACGUUAAUCCAGUAUUAUGGUGGUCUAUAUUAUUAUUAUAGCCACCUAUACGGAAUGUUGAUGUGCCAAACAAUGGAGACACACAUUGUGUACUUGGAUUAAUGAAUAAAAUGACAUGUAUCAGUCUAUGGGACACAUAGUAAACUAGAUUAUUUCAUACCUAAAAUGCUAUAAUAUUUGAUUGAUAAAUGAUAAGAACAAAGAAAAGUUCUUGCAAGUUUGAAAAAAAAAAAGAGAAUAUCUUGACUCGUGCGGAUCUCAAACUUUUCUUUUCUAUCCUCUUCUCAAAUUAUAUUCCAAGUAAAACACGCAAUUACCAUAAGAGUUAAACAAUAUAAAAAGAGUUCUCAACUAAAUCUUCCAAAAGAGGCUUUCUCUUAUGGUUCACAUGUAAGUAUAUACUUUAAUUUACAUAAAAUUUAAUUUAACGAAUCCUAAUGAGCCUAUUUUCUGAACACGUACAAAUCAAUUUAAUGCAUAUCUUCACAUUUACACAAGAAUAAAGAAACUACACAUAUUUUUACUCCAUUGCUUCUGAAUUUAUAUAAUUCUUUCCAUUUAAUAUGAUUGAGUUUUUAUCCCUCUAACAAGGAAAAAUAUUAUAUAUAGAUACAAGGAAAGCCCAUUUCAUUAUCUAUCUUCUCUUUGAUUCAGCGAGCGAAAUAAAAACAAAAGGCCAAAAAUGGGUGCAGACGCAAUCCAAACGAACGGUCACGAUCCCGCCAAGUUAACCGCCGCGAGAGGGAUCCAACGGUUGAGAUGCGCCGUGAAGAACUACGAGUGGGGCAAACUCGGACCGGACUCACUUGUUGCGAGGCUCCACGAGGCGAAUUCAGGGGACCGAGUCGACCCGGUGGUUCCUCACGCCGAGUUGUGGAUGGGUACUCACGAGUCGGCACCGAGUUACGUUGUGAAGGAAGAAGAAUUCGGGUCGGGUCGUAAUGGAUCCGAAUGCAUGGUUACAUUGAAAUCAUGGGUUUUGGAUUAUCCGAAUUUACUCGGGUCUAGAGUCGUGGACAAAUGGGGUUGUGAUCUUCCUUUCCUCUUCAAGGUAUUAUAUUUUAAAAGUUUCCAAUUAAAACAUGUAUAUUCAAAACCUUCUUUCAAAAAAAAAAAAAAACAUGUAUAUUCAGAUUCUGUUUAUGGUAAAUCUUUUUGUUUUUCCAGUUUUGUCUCAUACAUAAUUGUUCAGGAACAAAAGUAUUAUUUAUUUGAUCCUAAGAUUCUCAUUUUGAAUAUUUUUGCUCUGUUUUGAGGAUUUUACUUUUUGACUCUGUUUUCUUAUAAAAUUUCUAAUUAAAAGUCAAAACAUAUAUAUAUAUAUAUAUAUAUAUGUAUUUUUUUGUAAUUUCAGAUUCUGUGAAUUGUCAAUUUCUCCACUUUUUAUAUUUACAUAUAUUAUAUAUACAGCCAAUUUGUCUUGUUAGAUACAUAUAUAUUUUGGCUCUGUUUUGAGGAUGAUACAUUUUAACUCUGUUUUCUCAAUUUAUAAAAAUGCAUUUCUUUUUCUCUGUGUGUUUUAAAUUUAAAACAUAAAGGUUUGAUUCUAAUGAAUAAGAGUUUGAUGUUGAAAUGUGCAAAAAAUAAAAACAGGUUUUGUCAGUGACGAAAGCAUUGUCGAUUCAAGCACAUCCAAACAAAGCCUUAGCAGAGAAAUUGCAUAGAGAAGAUCCUCUUCUUUACAGAGAUGCUAACCAUAAGCCUGAGAUUGCUCUCGCCAUUACUCCUUUUCAAGCUCUUUGUGGUUUCGUAUCUCUUAAUGUACUAGAUUCUUCACUUCUCUGCAAACAUCUAAUUUAGUCGGUUUUUGAUUUAGAUAACUUCGGUUAUUUUGCCUAUCACAUAUGCUAAAUCCAAAAUUGAACCGGUUCUGUACCACUUUUGAUAUCAAAUUCAGGAGCUGAAGGAAGCCAUCGCCAAUGUACCAGAAAUCACAGAGCUUGUCGGAAGUAAAGCAGCAGAUCAAAUCUUCAAAGUCAACGAACACGAUGGAGACGAAACAAGUGUUAAAUCCGUUGUCCGUUUGAUUUUCACGCAAUUGAUGUCUGCAAACAUCAAUGAUACAAAGCAAGUCAUAUCACAGAUGAAGAUUCGUCUGAUCUCAGAAACAAACCACCGUGAGUUAUCGGAGAAGGAGAAGUUAGUAUUGGAACUAGAGAAACAGUAUCCAGGUGACGUGGGCGUGAUCUCAGCAUUCUUCUUUAACCACGUCAAGCUUAAUCCCGGAGAGGCUUUGUAUCUUGACGCCAACGAGCCACACGCUUACAUUUCCGGCGACUGUGUUGAGUGUAUGGCGGCUUCAGACAACGUUGUUAGAGCUGGUCUCACUCCGAAACACCGCGAUGUUCAAACUCUGUGUUCUAUGCUGACCUACAAAUUGGUAACUUUCUUUACACGUUAACGUUUUUUUUGGUUUAGUUGGCUAGCAAAAUUUGGAUUGUACCCUAACCCUAACCAAAACCGAAAAUUUAUUUUUCUUUGUUUGGUUAUUGAUUAAUUGUACCGGAUUUGUUUCAGGGCUACCCGGAGAUUUUGAAAGGAUUUCCUCUGACUCCAUACAUUACGAGAUACCUUCCACCAUUUGAUGAGUUUGAAGUGGACCAUUGUGAUCUUCCUAGAGAGAAAUCCACUGUUUUUCCGGCCAUACCAGGGCCAUCGGUUUAUCUGGUUAUUGAAGGAAAAGGGACAUUGAAAACCGGUUCAUCUCAAUUGUUGGUUAAACGAGGAGAUGUUUUGUUUGUUCCGGCACAUAACGAGAUUCACGUAACCGGAGAAAGUGAUGUGAUGAAGCUUUACAGAGCUGGAGUCAGCAGCAGAUUCUUUCAAACAAUGUAGACUAAGUAAAGAUACAUAUAUAUAUAUUUAAUUUGUUAUCUAAAUGUAACCAUAGGGAUCAAGGCAUUGACGUGAUCAUAGUCAAUAUUGGUCCAUGUUCUUUAAUCCUACAAAUGUCCCAUUACGAAUCAAGGGUUCAAGGGGUUGUUUUUCUAUUAACUUUUGUUGUUUCUUCUACACCUUUAAAAUUGAAUUAUAUAUGUAAAAUGAUUAUAAAACAAUGUUUUUUUUUUUACUUUUUGCUAUUGUAGUGUAGUAACUAGUAAUUAUUCUUCCUUUACCUGUUUAAACUUUAAUUUCUAGAACUACUCUGCAAAAGCACAUUUGUUCAGUUGUAAUAUGUAGAGAUCGAACCACAGAGACGAGAAAUUCGCUCAAUAAACCUAAUAGACUCUAAUUGCGCUAAGAAGAAAUAAUGAAAUUGAGAGCAGCAAUGCAAUAAAAAACGGUUUUAAAUUCGAUGGGAAAGAAUUAGGCUCAGGGUGUUUCACAGAAAAUCAGAGAAUGCAGACAAAUCGAUUAGUCAUGAUUCAGAUUUAAGCGCAAUUCUUGAACUCAAAUCACGAAAUUAUAAUUAACUAACUUUUGUUGCGAAAAUUAUUUAAAUCUAAAUCCCAGAAUCCCAAUUUUCUUUGCAAUCCUAAAGAUAUAAAUUAGCCUUAAGUGCAGGUUCGAUAUGUUCACAAAGUGUCUAAACCAAUUUUUUUUGUGGAUAGCUACUUUGCUCAUCCUAGGUUCUUUCGGAUUAUUCAAUUACAGUUUCGUGUCAAUCAAUUAACCUAAGAUCUAAGUUCUAGGUGAUCAGUCCAAAAUUAGCUUUAAGAAUAAUCUAUGGUGAAUUACUAAUCAGAUUAUGACCCCUAACUAAUUAAUUAUCUAAAAUUCAAAGGGAUCCCUUAUGAGAACCCUAAACCUAACAAACAAACUACUCAAAUAUGGAGAUUGAAUCAAUAAACAUGAAUGAAUAGAUUGCAGAAAGCAGUAAAAAGAUUAAUAAACAGAGGUUCAAAAUCUUCUCUCAAACAAACAGAGUCUCAGACUUGUCUCCCUAAAAGCUCUCUCAAGAUCAAUAGAAAUCAAAAGUCUCAAAGAAAAUCUAGAGUGUAGCCAAAACACGUGGCUGAAAACCCUAUCAAAAGCUAAAACACAUGUUGGACUUCCCUGUAAAUAUUGGAGACUUCUGGGCUCAAGAGAUUCUUUAAAACUUAGACAAAAUCACGUUUUUCCUUAUUCACGACAUUGGUGUCGAGCAACACCAAAACAUAUAAAUCAUCUUUCACGAAUUUGAUCCCUGCUUAGUUCCAAAAUGCUCUAAAAUCUCCAAUUAAACUCCAAAUACAUUUAAGACCUGAAAAGACUCCAAAAAAUUAAAAAAACACUAAAGAGACUCUAUAAAUAAAACCUAUCAUGAUCAAAAACCAUAAAAAAAAACCAUGAUAUAUCAUUCUCCAUGAUAAGCAUUUUUCGAAUGGUCUGAGUCGAACAAAACAAUGUUCUCUAAAGUAUAAGGCCAAUUCUUUUUGCCUCCCUCGUCACUUACCUUUUGUUUGUGGCUUCCAUGGCAUAGACUAGAGAGAUGACCCCGAGAAGACCUAAUCUAGCACGCAUUUGUUUGGAUGUUGCUAAUGUUCCGUUUUAAAGUACAUAUGCAAAGAUCGUGGAAAGUAAAACGAACUCAAUCUUAAGUCUUGAGACAAUGAUUUUUGCCAAUUUUCCGGUAAGCUUUCCCGGUGAAAUCUUUCACUGGAAUGACCUGAUUAUGGAUGCGCUGGAAACUUGAGUACUAUAACGUGAUAUACUUAUAUGUCAAAAUCGAAUUUAAACUGAAUGAGAAAUGAGGAUUCUUAGAGAGUAUAGCUUGAAAGCUUAAAAAUAACAUAAGUUACCAAAUGACAAGUGUGAUUUGUCCCACAUUAGCAAUUCAACGUUACAUUUUGAACGUAGUGUUACGUUCUCCCCUUGAUAAUACUCAAUAGAUCUGCUUCUAGCCUGUCCCAACAAUCUGAUUCGGAUUGAGAAUUGCGGUUUUUGCGAACGUUGUUAAAGAUUUCCAAAAAAAAAAAUAUUUCAUUACGGCUUUUCACAUCAAAUCGGAAAAACUCUGCUUAGUUUUAACUUUUUAGGGAAUUUGAUAAAUAUUUGACAAACUUUGUGAAAAUAACUUUUGGAGUAGCAAAAUUCCGCAAAAAAAAAAAAAAAACUCAGAGUAAACUUACUGACAAAAGAAAAAAGUUUCCUCAAGUUGGUUUAGUCGCAUUCCUUUUGUCAAGCACUUAAUCCACUACAAAGACGUUUUGUUGUAAUUUAACCGAACUGAACAAUCAUUCCAAAUCUUAAUAAGCAGCUAAAGAGAGACAUUGAGAGACCAAGAUAAACCGGUUUACUUGCACCUACUUGCUGUUUGUUAAAGCUUUGGUUACAAAAUGUGAAACGAUUCCAACCGGACAGAAGAGAAGGCACAAUGAAACCGAAUGCCUCGUCUCAAUCUUAUUCUCUAGCCCAUCAUUAAAAACUUGCCUGCAGAGAAACACUCAAAACAUGAGUUAUAAGAAACAUGCUAGGAUCAAUCAGAACCUGAAAAGUGCAAUAUAGUACCUUGCAGCGAAAAGAUCUAUAACAAGAAGAUGAAUCCAAGCAGAAGCAAGAGUCAUUUCACUUGAGAACAUUUUCGCUAUUCCAGACAACUGCAAAUGAAAAAAAAAAAAAGAAAUUUUAGAAACUGGAAUGUACACAUUUUCUUGUUUUCGAUAUUUCCUGAUAAUUGGAGGAAAAAGCUAAAACCUCUGGCAACAUGUAUUUACUGGAAAACAUGUAUUUGAGAGUAUCAGGCGUCCAAGAAAGGUAUAACAAAUACGCGUAUAAUACGCCUAAGACGAUAUACGGUAUGCUACUCUCCAUACACUUUUUGGUCUGCACAAGGAGAAAACAUACACUCAAUUCAAUAUGAACUUUUUUGAUUCUGCACAAGAAGUUGUAAAACUGCUAAACAAAAACUCACAAUUUCAGCUUUUGGAGCUACAACCAUUAGAGUGUAAAAGGGUAAAACAGCGGUUGUUCCAACCGCAAAUACACUGCUUGCAAUCUGAGAAGUAGCUAUCCCUGCACAAGAACAUGUUAUGUCUCUGUCCUACUUUCAAUUUAAACAUUGAAGAGCUAUAGAUUCUAGACAUAUAUCAAGCCUCUUUUUGGUUUAUAAUGUUUCAGUUAAGAGACAUUACAUGAAGCUCGUACACCAGAGGAUUUCUUUUGAACAAGAGAGGACGAGUUCGAUGAAACAUUAGGGAAAAGUGCGAUUUUUGAUCCUCCGAUAAAGCUCCAACGAUUCUGAAGUCGAAUACUUGACGAACCAACGCAUAGUUUAGACUUGACAUUGCUGAGAGAAAGACUUGUUAUCGAGCUCUUAGCUGAAAUGUUGCGAUUCAUCAUCUGAAUCACCAAACAAAAUGAAUCAAUCUGAUGAAAUAUAAAAAACUUCUUUAUUUCUUAAAAUUUAGGAAUCUGAGACCAAAAGCACUUUGAUCUGAACAACAACGAAUCAGGAACAGAGUUAGGUUCUGUAACAGGGACCCAUGAGGAGUAAAUUCAACUUCUUUAAUGUCUGCGUCAAUUCGAUCUGAUUCAAAGGAUAAAACUUUAAGGUUACCCAUAAGGAAUCUGAACUAUUCGAAAUUGUAGAAAGCUCGACAUAAGAAUCUAAUCCGACAAUCUCCAACAACUGUACAUACAUACAUACAUACAUACAUACAUGAUACAUACAUACAUACAUACACACACAUAGAUAUAGACAUAUAUCUGCGUAUACCGAAAAUUGGAGAAGAAUUGAAAAAGGAAGAGAAAAGGUAGAUACCGAGAGAGAUGAAGAAGACAAAGGCUGGGAAAUGCAAGAAGAUAAAGCCAUCUGCGAUUCAAAUCUUCAAUAGUCUUUGCCAGAAUUUGGCCAUUCAUUACCUUCUUCAACGAGCUCUCUCCAUAUAUAUAUGUAAAGUAUCAAUUUUUAGAGAGGAGAGUUGAGAGUUUUCCACUGGUUGAAAAGGGUAAGUGGAGAAGAAGCUAAGAGAAAAAGUGCUCACUCACUCUUUCUUCAUCAGUGUGGACAAUUAUAGUUGCUCAUCCACCCGAAUUUUUUAAAAAAGUUUUGGUCUUUUUUAGUUUUCCUCGUUUACUUCUGUUUCGCAUAAACAAAAAAAAAAGAAAAAACCAUUAUGAGUUUGAGUUAAUUUUAAAGAGAAAAUCAAAUUUAAAGAUUCUUUAUAUUGUAUGUUCAAAAUUGCAAUAUAUUAUGGAAAAAAAGAGAAGAUUUUUUCCUAAUUUUAGAUAAAAACCUUUAAUAAAAAUCAAAAAAUUAUUAAGAUAUUAAUUUAACCUUAUAUUUUAGAUAUUGUUCUUUUUCUGGUCAAUAUAAAAAAUUACAGUUUACCAUUCUUAUAUAAAAAAAAAUUAAUUAGACUCAAAUGGAAUGUUUUUAUUUUUUUAACAAGAAUAUAACUUUCAUAGAACCUAAUACCCAAAAAAAAAACAUUUGACCCGACUAAAUUAAAAUUCAAGGAAAGAUUGGAGCUUUGAUCCUUUACUCGAUAAAAAAAAGGUUCUUCAUUGUAUGAUCAAAUGACUUGUCGGAUUGUAUUUGUAGGUGGCUCAUCGUAGGAUUAAUAGCUUCUCGGAUUUUGUUAUCCUUGUCUUGUGUUUUGCUUUUUCCGUGAAGAUCAAAAUUUUCUUCUAUACAUUCCUGCUAUAUAUUCCAUCAUGUUCUACCGGUUACACUUAUAAGCCUAUAAGGAUAUCUAAUCUACUUUUUUAUUUGAUAAAAACCUAAUAUCUUUGUUAAUGGAUAUUUGUGCUUAAACUGAAUUUAGACACAACACAGGUCUAGUUCAGGACAGAACAAGACAAAAGUGACAGUGCUACUUCUACUCAGCAGUGGUUGUGACUUCCUCUAAAGACAAAAGUUGGUGUUUCCACCAUUAUUUCGGUUUUGCUUUUAUUAUAUAUUUUAUUUUAAUUUAUUUUUCGCUACAUGAGAAUUGCAUUAACGAAGGACAUUAUAUAUGAAAACAAAAAAAAACAAUAAAAAGAUAUACAUACAUGUGUCUGACACUCAUUGUUUGUGAAAUCAGUUGGGAGUAAGAUAGCGCUUGAGUGGGCUAUUUGGUAUGAUAGCUUCUCUCUAUUGAUGGGCCUUAUUGACCCACCCCACUUCAGUUUUGUUUAGUCAUUCACAACAAGAAAAACAUGAAAACAAAAGCAACACUUGUCUUUUCUAUCUCUCAAUCUGUAAGUGGUAUAUGCGCAUUUCGUUGAAUUCGAUUGAGACCAAAACUCUUUUAAAACAUAAUGUAUAGUUCUUAGGAUUAUAUGGGGAAAAUAUAUGAUGUCUCAAAGAUUUUUCAUAACAUAUUAUAUUCCUUAUAAUAAAAGGUCACCUGGGGUUUUUCUAUAAACCGGGGUUUUUUUAUAAACCGCCGGCUUUUCUAUAAACCGCCGGCUUUGUCUCUGGAGAUGUUGUAUCAUCUGCCGGCUUUGUGUAAUCCGUUGGCUUUGCUCUGUAACACUAUGGUGAUCAAUAUAAUAAUAUUCAAUGAAAAAAAAAAAAGGUCACCUAAAUAAUUAAAAAUUUGAAUUUUUACGACUCAUAUUUCUAUCCUAUUCCAAAGCUAGGAAAACAACAUAAAGAGUUACAAAUUCUUACUAUAUAGUACUUCCAACAAUAUCUUUAUGUAAAUUUGUGCCAAGUCAUUUUGAGUGGAAAAUGUAGAAUAUAUGAUCCACAAGAUCCUUGAAUAUACUUGGGUAUAUAGAAAUAAAAAUGAAUAUCCGAGACUCUUAUCUACAAGCCUAUCCUUAAGAAGGCACGUCCACGAAUGUUUCUAUCACAGAUUUUCAGUGGGCCAUCAUCUAUUACUUCAAGAUAUUGUUCUAAAAAUGCAUCUCAACCUCAAGCUUACUAAUCAUGUGACAAAAGUGAUAAUGUGAAUCUAGUUUUUCAAAUAAUUUCUUUAUUCAAUGACGACUAAUCAAAGAGUUGGUAUAUUUUUGUAUUCACAGUUCUUCAACUUUGUAUAUUUUCAUAUCUUGAGCCGCAUUGUAAUUUGUUUUUUCUUAUAUGCAAAAUUCAAAAUCAAAGAUUUAUAGAACAUUACAUAUUUAUUUCAUCAGACAUUUGAGAAUCCGAUAGAAAAUGUCUCGCAAACCGGAAAACAAACGUUAAAUCCGGAAAUUAAAACAAAACUAAGGAAACCAAAAAAAAAAAAGCAGAUGAUAAAAUCAAAGGUGAGGAGGGAGAUAAAGUUUUUUUUUUUUGAUGUUUACACAAAGCAAAGAAGCAGUGAAAUUAAGCAUCGGUGAAGCUUGCUGGCUUGUAGGCGAUGAAACUGAUGCACUGGACUUGACGGGUGUUGUCGAAUCCGAUGAUCCUAAUGAAGGCCUGGGGGUACUCCUUCUUGCACUCUUGCACUUCCUUCAACACUUGAGCUGAGUCAGUGCAUCCGAACAAAGGAAGCUUCCACAUUGUCCAGUACCGUCCAUCGUAGUAUCCGGGAGUGCUUCCGUGCUCACGGUGCACAAAUGCGUUCUACAAAAACACAUUACACAAAACCAUUCAAAAACAUAAAUCAAGAUUCUGCUUAGGACCUCUAAAUAGUUAUUAACUUGAUUGCAAGAUUCAUAUGGUCCAAGAGAUCAAGCUACUCUAUAAAUGAUUUUUAUUACCUCCAACUCGAAUUCAACACAGGGAAUCCACUUGUUGCGGAGAAGGUAGUCAACUUCCUUAGCCAAUUCAACUUCGGUUAGGUCAGGAAGGUAAGAGAGAGUCUCAAACUUCUUCUUACCAAUAGGAGGCCACACCUAUUUUUUGCCAUUUUUCCAAAAUCAACAAAAACAAUAUUAGUUUAUAUGAUUCGAUAAAUCAAAAACCCAUAAAUUUGUUUUUGGUAUAAGAGAUUUGACCUGCAUGCAGUUAACUCUUCCGCCGUUGCUUGCGAUGGAAGUAAUGUCGUUGUUGGCCUUACGGGUCACAGGGAAAGCAGCGGAGGACUUAAGUCCGGUGAAAGGUGCGACCAUUGUGGCCUGAGCCGGAGAAGCGACCAUUGUAGCGGAAGAGAGCAUAGAGGAAGCCAUAUUGCCUUUACUCUUUUUGUGUGUGACUUAGGUUUGGUCUAGUGCUUUGGUCAUCUAUAUAUAAUGGUAACAACAAUGAUAACAAGGUGAGGGAGUGAUCGGAGGGCUCA
Molecule: long non-coding RNA, 26618 nt
Filed under: Eutrema salsugineum
Lineage: Eukaryota; Viridiplantae; Streptophyta; Magnoliopsida; Brassicales; Brassicaceae
Description: long non-coding RNA (ESAL_LNC000110)
Source: RNAcentral